AUUUAUAUAGCUAACAGAAAAGCCAGAGAGGUACUCCAAAGUGCACUUAAACAUAACGAUAAAAAGAAACCCAUGAUGGAGCCAAAACCUGACAGAAAAACCAGAGAGAUACCCCAAAGUGCACUUAAAAAUAAUGAGAAAAAACGAGGAAGUGGUCCCAAAUAUUGAAGCCCAAACCGAAGUUGGCAAAACCGAAGUUAACUUGUUUAAAAUUAAAAUUAAUGAUAAACAAGAAAUAUCAUAAAUAACAACAUUCCCAAUAAAUUGUAUUGACCUGUCUUGCAA
Dalotia coriaria is the source of this 285-nucleotide long non-coding RNA. RefSeq lists it as uncharacterized. The record is from RefSeq and is a predicted model, not a curated record. NCBI's taxonomy places the organism in Eukaryota, Metazoa, Arthropoda, Insecta, Coleoptera, Staphylinidae. The transcript is spliced from 2 exons.